GAUGAACGCUGGCGGCGUGCCUAAUACAUGCAAGUCGAGCGAACGGACGAGAAGCUUGCUUCUCUGAUGUUAGCGGCGGACGUGUGAGUAACACGUGGAUAACCUACCUAUAAGACUGGGAUAACUUCGGGAAACCGGCGCUAAUACCGGAUAAUCUUUUGAGCCGCAUGGUUCAAUAGUGAGAGUCGGUCUUUCUGUCACUUAUAGAUGGAUCCGCGCUGUAUUAGCUGGUUGGUAAGGUAACGGCUUACCAAGGCAAGGAUGCAUAGCCGACCUGAGAGGGUGAUCGGCCACACUGGAACUGAGACACGGUCCAGACUCCUACGGGAGGCAGCAGUAGGGAAUCUUACGCAAUGGGCGAAAGCCUGACGGAGCAACGCCGCGUGAGUGAUGAAGGUCUUCGGAUCGUAAAACUCUGUUAUUAGGGAAGAACAUAUGUGUAAGUAACUGUGCACAGCUUGACGGUACCUAAUCAGAAAGCCACGGCUAACUACGUG
RNAcentral lists this ribosomal RNA (497 nucleotides) under uncultured bacterium. RNAcentral's name for it is "partial 16S ribosomal RNA". It matches the Rfam family "Bacterial small subunit ribosomal RNA", at positions 28 to 507 of the family's 1533-position model. The record is from RNAcentral.